AUUUUAGUAUAAGUAUGUCCUAUGCAAUAUUUGGGACAUAUUUAUACUAAAA
RNAcentral lists this microRNA precursor (52 nucleotides) under Canis lupus familiaris (dog). RNAcentral describes it as "mir-1302 microRNA precursor family". It matches the Rfam family "mir-1302 microRNA precursor family". The record is from Rfam by way of RNAcentral. Lineage: Eukaryota; Metazoa; Chordata; Mammalia; Carnivora; Canidae. RNAcentral also lists the same sequence under 1 other name.